This 419-nucleotide ribosomal RNA is filed under the name uncultured ammonia-oxidizing beta proteobacterium. Its description in RNAcentral is "bacterial SSU rRNA". It matches the Rfam family "Bacterial small subunit ribosomal RNA", at positions 197 to 597 of the family's 1533-position model. The record is from RNAcentral. Lineage: Bacteria; Pseudomonadati; Pseudomonadota; Betaproteobacteria.
UGGAGGAAAGUAGGGGAUCGCAAGACCUUACGCUUUUGGAGCGGCCGAUGUCUGAUUAGCUUGUUGGUGGGGUAAAGGCUUACCAAGGCUUCGAUCAGUAGCUGGUCUGAGAGGACGACCAGCCACACUGGGACUGAGACACGGCCCAGACUCCUACGGGAGGCAGCAGUGGGGAAUUUUGGACAAUGGGCGCAAGCCUGAUCCAGCCAUGCCGCGUGAGUGAAGAAGGCCUUCGGGUUGUAAAGCUCUUUCAGCCGGGAAGAAAAGGCUGCGAUUAAUAAUCGCAGUUCAUGACGGUACCGGAAGAAGAAGCACCGGCUAACUACGUGCCAGCAGCCGCGGUAAUACGUAGGGUGCGAGCGUUAAUCGGAAUUACUGGGCGUAAAGCGUGCGCAGGUGGUUUUGUAAGUCAGAUGUGA